Molecule: small RNA, 717 nt
Filed under: Pongo abelii (Sumatran orangutan)
Lineage: Eukaryota; Metazoa; Chordata; Mammalia; Primates; Hominidae
Description: retained intron
Source: RNAcentral
GGUUUGCACGCCGGACCGGAGAGCGCGGAGGCAGCCAUGGUGCGGUUCAAGCACAGGUACCUGCUCUGCGAACUGGUGUCUGACGACCCCCGCUGCCGCCUAAGCCUCGAUGACCGAGUUCUGAGCAGCCUCGUACGGGACACGAUCGCCAGGGUGCACGGAACUUUCGGCGCAGCCGCCUGCUCCAUCGGCUUCGCGGGUGCAAGGGCGCUGGGGGAAGAGGGGAACCCGGGAGGAUGGCGGGAUGUGGAGGGGGCAGGCGCCGGAGGAAGAAAGAAAGGGCACGAGUGGCCAAGCCCGUGCACCGUUUUUUGUAAGGUAUCUCUUUACGCGCCUGGGACCCCAAGCGAGAGUCCGAAAUUAGCAGAGCGCUAAAAGGGGCCCGAAGGCAGUGGGGCUUUGAGCUAGAGGCCUCUUUUUACCUGCUUGACAGGUAAUUUCUGUAAUUGGUUGUGAUUGAAUUUGAUAGGGUAGGGAAUUAAAUGAGGGAAGCUGUGUAUAGUUCCUAGUAAGAGCUAUUAUAUGACCGAUUACAUUAACAUCACAUGGAAAAAAAAAUGUCAAAAGUACCCCUGGGAAAGCCCUUAAAUAGUUGGUAAAGUACAGAACACAUGAUUGUCAAUAUAUGUAAAUACAGGAUGAGCUAGGACAGAGGGGCCCUUCUUUCACACCACUUAAAUUAGUUCCCUCUUUUACUUUGCUUGAGAUUGACUUCUG